AAGUUAAGUGCUCUUACGCCAAUGGUACUGCAUCUCAAGAUGUGGGAGAGUAGGUAACCGCCAAAC
Molecule: ribosomal RNA, 66 nt
Filed under: Thalassovita litoralis
Lineage: Bacteria; Pseudomonadati; Pseudomonadota; Alphaproteobacteria; Rhodobacterales; Roseobacteraceae
Source: RNAcentral